UUUUGCCUAAAACAUAUUUACAAACAAAAAUAGCUUUAUUUUAAAUACAGUAUGUAUAUAUUUCUUGUAGUUUUAUCUUAACUACUCCCCUGAAUAUGUUUUUUUCUUUCAGUAAAUUGCCCUUUUGAGACUGAAUACUCCAGUUAACAAUUAAUAAAUUACCAAAAUAGUUGACGAUUAUCUCAAUAAUCAAUUCAUCACGAAUAAUCAGACUAAUCAUUUCAGUCUCCAGGCUUUGUUACACCUGAUCUCCAUUCAAACGGCUCACACCAACGUUAGGACAAACCCACAAGGACACAACAAUUUCGCUUUUGAAUUUAUUGGAUUAGAUUAUAUUCCUACAGCAAACAAUAAAAACAAACAUGUAAUCUUAACACACUAAAGUUAUCUUAUGCUACAGUUUAAUACAAAAGGCUGGUGCCUUUCCUUAAUCCCAUCCUGAAAAGCAAACCUUAAAACUGUUCAGAUCACACAAAGUGUGAAUGAAUUCUGAACUAAAACAAGAUUCUGAUGCCUCAGAACCUUGAAUCUGGCAACCGAAUCAACUGAGGAUUCAGGAAAAGGUGCAACACAAUGACACUUUCAUAUUGAAUCCCUUAUUAUCUGUUUUUUGACACUUUCAUUUUAAAAUCCCUUAUUAUCUGUUUUUUGACCAUCUCUGAUUUUGUUUUAUUUCAUUUUUUUUCCCUGGGAUGUUUAAUUUUGUGUUGAUCCUUGUACUAAGUUUAUUCAUUGUUGAUGAAUUGUUUAAUUCUUACAAUUAUUAACAUCAAAUUAAUUUAUUUUAAGUAAAUAUAACUGAAGCAUUUCUUUAAAAUUAAACUAUUGCCAAUAAAGCUGGAAUUAUUUUUAUAUUCCUCUUUUAUCUGGUUUUAAUUUUUAUUGUUAUGUUGAAAAAUACUUACGAUACAUUUUAUCACUAAAUGAAUCAAAUUUUCCCAAUAAUUUCAUAUGAAAAAGUAAAUAAUUGAUUGUUAGUCAGCAAAUUCCUGUUUUUCUGGGGUAUAAAUAUCCAGUAACAAAAGACCCCAUUUCUCUUUAGAACUCUUCAAAAGGGGAAAGACAAGAGAACAUGUUCAAAUAGGGGAGAUGUGCUGAUCUUCAGAAAUCAGGAAAUGGCUAAAAUAAAUAUAAAUGUUUAGCAAAUAUUGCACUUCAUAUUACAUGUAAAUACUAUUCAGGCAAAUUAUAGCCCAUCUUUUUAGGAACAAAAAUGAGCCACCGUAUGCUGAUGUACAGACCUACAAUAAAAGAUUUUUGCUGUUUUGGAACGAGGCACCAAAUAUGGCUGCAGCCCAGAGACCAACAUCCUUCUAAACCCGGCCCUGACCUGGGGUGAAAAUAACUGAAGGACUUUGUGUAUUUGCUUUCAAAUGACGCGAAUAAAAUAUAACAUCUCAUGUAAAAUAUCUUACACUCUAAGCUAUCUCCAAAUUAUUUAAGAUAAUAAUUUGUAAUACGUUAUUAUACCAUAACGCAAUUACUUUAAAGGUUAAAUGUCGUGAUUUCUUUAUAUCUGAACACCAAUAUUAAACUAAACCACCAUUUUUAUUCUUAUACUAUUUUAUUUACAAGCAUCCUACAUUAUCUAAAUGUAUCUAAAAUGUAAAAAAAUCAGUUUUUAGAUGUUUUUUUAUAUAUAUAUAUAUAUUAACUAUGUUUGAUAACAAUAAAUCUCAUAGAUCAGUGGCUAAUUUACCCUUAAAUGGUUCCAUGUCUGUGGACUGAGCAGCAGAGCUGAGUUUGCUGAAUGCAGCAACUACAAACCUAA
Molecule: long non-coding RNA, 1771 nt
Organism: Xiphophorus couchianus (Monterrey platyfish)
Lineage: Eukaryota; Metazoa; Chordata; Actinopteri; Cyprinodontiformes; Poeciliidae
Exons: 3
Source: RefSeq, a predicted model, not a curated record